RNAcentral lists this non-coding RNA (45 nucleotides) under unclassified sequences. The record is from RNAcentral.
CUCUGUUUCGCAGGCCGCCUUGCGGUAUGAUUCAGGGCAAAGGAG